GAUGAACGCUGGCGGCGGGCCUAAUACAUGCAAGUCGAGCGAACAGACGAGGGUCUUGCUCCUCUGACGUUAGCGCCGGACGGGUGAGUAACACGUGGAUAACCUACCUAUAAGACUGGGAUAACUUCGGGAAACCGGAGCUAAUACCGGAUAAUAUAUUGAACCGCAUGGUUCAAUAGUGAAAGACGGUUUUGCUGUCGCUUAUAGAUUGAUCCGCGCCGCAUUAGCUAGUUGGUAAGGUAACGGCUUACCAAGGCGACGAUGCGUAGCCGACCUGAGAGGGUGAUCGGCCACACUGGAACUGAGACACGGUCCAGACUCCUACGGGAGGCAGCAGUAGGGAAUCUUCCGCGAUGGGCGAAUGCCUGACGGAGCAACGCCGCGUGAGUGAUGAAGGUCUUCGGAUCGUAGAACUCUGUAAUUAGGGAAGAACUAAUGUGUAAGUAACUAUGCACGUCUUGACGGUACCUAAUCAGAAAGCCACGGCUAACUACGUG
This 497-nucleotide ribosomal RNA is filed under the name uncultured bacterium. RNAcentral's name for it is "partial 16S ribosomal RNA". It matches the Rfam family "Bacterial small subunit ribosomal RNA", at positions 28 to 507 of the family's 1533-position model. The record is from RNAcentral.